CAUGAAGCUGGAAUCGCUAGUAAUCGCGAAUCAGAAUGUCGCGGUGAAUACGUUCCCGGGUCUUGUACACACCGCCCGUCACACCAUGGGAGUCGGAAAUGCCCGAAGUCAGUGACCCAACCGUAAGGAGGGAGCUGCCGAAGGUGGAGCCGGUAACUGGGGUGAAGUCGUAACAAGGUAUC
This 182-nucleotide ribosomal RNA is filed under the name uncultured bacterium. RNAcentral's name for it is "partial 16S ribosomal RNA". It matches the Rfam family "Bacterial small subunit ribosomal RNA", at positions 1319 to 1500 of the family's 1533-position model. The record is from RNAcentral.